This 330-nucleotide ribosomal RNA is filed under the name uncultured Glomeromycotina. RNAcentral describes it as "eukaryotic LSU rRNA". Lineage: Eukaryota; Fungi; Glomeromycota. The record is from RNAcentral.
CAGUCGUACUGACGGGUAAUCAACCUUUCGGGUGCGAUUCUGUGGGUUUUGAGGAGCUUCACGGCCCUCAUGGUCUACAUAUUUGUGCCAUUUGGGUGUACUUACCUGGUAGUAGGUUAACAUCAAUUUCGGACGUCAUAAAAUGAUGGGAGGAAUGUAGCUUCGGUCUCGUACUGAAGUGUUAUAGCCUCUGGUAGAUGUGAUGAUCGGGAUUGAGGAUUGCAACGAAUACUUUUAGGCUACCCGCCUGAUCUCUGAUGGUUGCUAUGGUGCCGAAAGCUUGCUUACGGUUAUCAGAGUUUGAUUGUCAAAAGGUUAGAACGGGUUAAA